CCUACGGGAGGCAGCAGUGGGGAAUAUUGCGCAAUGGACGAAAUUCUGACGCAACGACGCCGCGUGAGGGAUGAAGGUUUUCGGAUCUUUAACCUCUGUCAGGCGGGAAGCAAGCGCAUGGCGCCAAUCAGCCAUGCGUUGACGGUACCUCCAAACGAAGCGCCGGCUACCUCCGUGCCAGCAGCCGCGGUAAUACGGAGGGCGCGAGCGUUAAUUGGAAUUACUGGGCGUAAAGCUGGCGUAGGCUGUUGUGUAAGUUGGGGGUGAAAUCCCACGGCUCAACCGUGGAACAGCCCGUGAUACUGGGCGACUUGAAUCCGGGAGAGGGUGGCGGAAUGCCAGGUGUAGGAGGGAAAGCCGUAGAUAUCUGGAGGAACAGCAGUGGCGAAGGCGGCCAACUGGACCGGUAUUGACGCUGAGGCGCGAAAGCGUGGGGAGCAAACAGGAUUAGAUACCCGAGUAGUC
This 465-nucleotide ribosomal RNA is filed under the name uncultured bacterium. Its description in RNAcentral is "partial 16S ribosomal RNA". It matches the Rfam family "Bacterial small subunit ribosomal RNA", at positions 338 to 795 of the family's 1533-position model. The record is from RNAcentral.